RNAcentral lists this ribosomal RNA (478 nucleotides) under uncultured bacterium. Its description in RNAcentral is "partial 16S ribosomal RNA". It matches the Rfam family "Bacterial small subunit ribosomal RNA", at positions 28 to 523 of the family's 1533-position model. The record is from RNAcentral.
GACGAACGCUGGCGGCGUGCUUAACACAUGCAAGUCGAACGGUAAGGCCCUUCGGGGUACACGAGUGGCGAACGGGUGAGUAACACGUGGGUGAUCUGCCCUGCACUUCGGGAUAAGCCUGGGAAACUGGGUCUAAUACCGGAUAGGACCACUGCCUGCAUGGGUGGUGGUGGAAAGCUUUUGCGGUGUGGGAUGGGCCCGCGGCCUAUCAGCUUGUUGGUGGGGGGAUGGCCUACCAAGGCGACGACGGGUAGCCGGCCUGAGAGGGUGACAGGCCGCAAUGGGAAUGGGAGACGGCCCAGACUCCUACGGGAGGCAGCAGUGGGGAAUAUUGCACAAUGGGCGCAAGCCUGAUGCAGCGACGCCGCGUGAGGGAUGACGGCCUUCGGGUUGUAAACCUCUUUCAGCACCGACGAAGCGCAAGUGACGGUAGGUGCAGAAGAAGGACCGGCCAACUACGUGCCAGCCGCCGCCGUAA